CUUACGGGUGGCUGCAGUGAGGAAUAUUGGUCAAUGGGCGCGAGCCUGAACCAGCCAAGUAGCGUGAAGGAUGACUUCCCUACGGGUUGUCAACUUCUUUUAUAAAGGAAUAAAGUGAGGCACGUGUGCCUUUUUUCAUGUAUUUUAUGACUAAUGCUCGGCUAACUCCGUGCCCGCAGCCGCGGUAAUACGGAGGAUCCGAGCGUUAUCCGGAUUUAUUGGGUUUAAAGGGAGCGUAGAUGGGUUUUUAAUUCAGUUGUGAAAGUUUGCGGCUCAACCGUAAAAUUGCAAUUGAUACUGGCAGCCUUGAGUACAGUUGAGGUAGGCGGAAUUCGUGGUGUAGCGGUGAAAUGCUUAGAUAUCACGAAGAACUCCGAGUGCGAAGGCAGCCUACUAAACUGCCACUGACAUUGAUGCUCGAAAGUGUGGGUAUCAAACAGGAUUAGAUACCCUAGUAGUC
This 460-nucleotide ribosomal RNA is filed under the name uncultured bacterium. RNAcentral's name for it is "partial 16S ribosomal RNA". It matches the Rfam family "Bacterial small subunit ribosomal RNA", at positions 338 to 795 of the family's 1533-position model. The record is from RNAcentral.